This 236-nucleotide ribosomal RNA is filed under the name uncultured bacterium. Its description in RNAcentral is "partial 16S ribosomal RNA". It matches the Rfam family "Bacterial small subunit ribosomal RNA", at positions 100 to 334 of the family's 1533-position model. The record is from RNAcentral.
CGGGACGGGUGAGUAACGCGUGGGUAACCUGCCUCAUACAGGGGGGUAACGAUUGGAAACGAUUGCUAAUACCGCAUAAGCGCACAGUACCACAUGGUACAGUGUGAAAAACUCCGGUGGUAUGAGAUGGACCCGCGUCUGAUUAGCUAGUUGGUGAGGUAACGGCCCACCAAGGCAACGAUCAGUAGCCGACCUGAGAGGGUGACCGGCCACAUUGGGACUGAGACACGGCCCAG